Molecule: long non-coding RNA, 3032 nt
Organism: Mugil cephalus (flathead mullet)
Lineage: Eukaryota; Metazoa; Chordata; Actinopteri; Mugiliformes; Mugilidae
Exons: 9
Source: RefSeq, a predicted model, not a curated record
CAUGCGUGUGGAGGACACGCUGACAUGAACGUGAACGCGCUCUACCAGCAGGUGGCAGUCUUUAUGUCAUUGCCAACAACUGAUAAGAAGCAGAGGAAGAAGUCAGACGUUUUUCCAGAUCCCGACCCACCGCUCCCGUGAAUAUCACCACCUCCUACCCUCACACUCACCUCUCCUUUGCUUUUUAUAUAUAUAUAUUAAACCAACGGCUCUUUUAAGAGCCACACCUGUACUGCUCUCUCUCUCUCUCUCCCUCUCUCUCUCUCUCUCUCUCUCUGUUUAUCUGUGGCUGAUGAGCACGACAGUGUGAAGGUGGAUGAUGCUAUUUUCCUAGCAGACUUGUUUCUGGCUGAAUUAAGAGAAGAAGAAGCACCUGCUGAACGUAGUAAGGCUACGCUCCGGUGGGUGGAGAGAGAUGCAGAUGGUCGUCGACUCGUAAAAAGAAGUAGAAGUGGAGAGACGAGGAAACGUGUAAAGGCUACAGACACUGAGAUGCAGAACUUGAAGGAUAUCCUGACAACAGCAAAUGUUCUGAAUAUGGAAGAGCAGCCUUCAGCCUCCACAUCAUGGUGCUUGCGUCAGUCUGCUGCUCAAGACGAGUGGCGGAAAGCACGGUCCUACCACCUCAACAGUUUGCUGUCCUGCAGUGAGGUCCCUUAAAGGAAGUGCUGUCACUGCACCUGUCCGGCCAUAGGUGGCUGCAGAGACUGUUUACCAGACGAGUGGCUGUGUAUGAAAUGUGACGUACGCAUACACACAAAACUCACACUCCAUAACCGGGAGUCUUGCAUUGAGGCACUUUACAAACCCAUUAAGCCAACAGUGUGCUGUGUAGAACAGGAUGGCACAUACCGUCUGGUCAAUCAAGUGAGACCUUCCCAGCUGUGCACCUGUUCCAGAAAACAUCAUUGAGUCAGCUGGUCCAGCAGGUAUCUUGGUUUUUCAUAAAUGGCUGGUAUGAUUUGCACAUUCCAAACUUGUUGUGCAGAUUGUGUCUGACACAGUGGAGACCUGACAGAAGUGACCUUAUAAAGAGCGGCUACUGGCCAGGAACUGUAAAUGCUGAGACUUUGUUUUCAGUUGAUGUCUUCAGCACAUUUGAAGAAAUGAAAACUGUUGCUCCCAGUUUGUCCAUCAAGCUUUUUUGCAGAUGUUAGAGAGGAGAACUACUCACUUUGGAAGGGCUGGGAAAAUACAUGGAGACGUAUUCCAGAGAAGCUUCCUGGAGUAUACAUUCUGCCAGUUCCAGUGUGACAAUAUGGCCUGUGUUGAACAGUUCACCUGCCCUGCAUGUGCACCAAACAUGCUGGCUCUCUGUGCAGAUGGCAACCGACAGUCAAAGGAUGAUUCAUUUACACUUUUUAAAUUUAACUGAGUAAAUAAUAUCUGAGACCCAUGAAUAUAAUUGUUUUUCUUUUCUCAUUAAGGUCAGAGGAGCCACUUUCAUUUCAAAGGACAGUGACGUACAGCAUUUUGUUGAGGACGUCCAGAGCAAAGUUAAAAGUGUUGUAGUAUUUGCACUGUUAUUUAAAUACAUUAAAUGGCCAAACUUUUGAGAUAUAUGACUUUAUUUAAUAGUUUAAGUCGUCAAAGCCAGUUGUUGUCUUGUUAAGAUAAUAUAAUAUAAUAUAAUAUGAUAUAAUAUAAUAACAAGUAUUUAAGUUAAGGAAAUCUCAGUUUUAACUACAGUAUUUUCUCAUCUAGACUGCUGGCAGAGGAAUCUGUGGAGCCAGUCAGUGAUCUGCUGCACGAGAGACUCCCACGAAUAGCAAGCAAGCUGGACGAAGAGGGCCUUUUUUGCAUUCUGCCAUCUGAUAUCUGCAUGCACAGAUAUGUAUAUCAUUUCUGCGGUUUCUAACUUUAUAGAUAGCAACAAAAUUCGACACGUGCGUCGAAGGAAAUUGAGGGAAGGGGAGAAGAAACUGCUGGAGACAAUCAAGCUCUAUAAUGAGCAGGAGUCUAAUGAGGAGCAGAUGGAUGUGGCGAAGGUGGAGAGCAGACUUUCCAUGGUUGGAGGAGACGGUGGGCCGGAUCUGAUAUGGCCAUGGGAAGUGGGACGAUUUUUCUCUAAAGCAGUUGCUUCAAGAGGAAAGGGUCAUCGUGCUGAGGGAGAUGAGACAGCACUGCACCUACCUCAGAGGUCUGGCUGAGAACAUCAGGGCUAAGAUGUCAGAAAUGUCUACUGUCAGGAGCAGUGGAAGUUUAAGUGAAGUGGGACAUUGUGGGCUGCGGUGUCUUCUUUGGAAAAGGCUUGCCGAUGUGGAUGAGAAGUUCCAACUUGUUAUUCGUAUAGUUACAGCCAGGCCCUGGGACCAAAUGCUGUAUUUUUCCAGGAGGACUGGCCCCAAGAGUCUCAGAAAGAACUGGAUGAGAGUUCAGAUGACAGUGAUUUGGAGGCAGUGUAAAUCUGUGCUCAUCUGCAAUCUCAGCGCACAACCCUCCACACAUCCCUCAGUGAAUCCAUCAGGGAAACAUCUUGUCGGGCAGAGAGUUGAUAUUUCCUGACUGGUGGCAGAAAGGACUUAUAGUACAUCUCCACUUCCAAGCCUUUAUCUUUUCACCAGCAGCACGGCAGCCAUCUAGGCACCUCUUCAUCUCAGCCCAAACAAGGUGGCAUCCUCCAGAUCUGCUUCUCCCCACAGACGUAUCCAACAGUACUUUAUAAAAUACAACAAAAACAGAAGGUUGAGGUACCAGACUUUGCUGCUACCAAUUGAAGCACAUGUUCUGGAAAGUAUCAUUUGAUCAAUCUAGGAAAAGGGACAACUAAUCGAGUUGGAAAACAGUUGUUAGUUGCAGUCCUGUUUUAUUGUGGCAUCUAUUUGUUGUAUCCUUUUUUAUUAUAAUACACUUUGUUUUAUUGGACUAUUUUAAAGUGUGUUAUCAAUGCUUUUCUUUUAAUAAAGGAAUUGUAUACCCUUAUACUGGAUGUAUUCUAUACUGUGUGUUCCAGUAUGAUGUCAGUAUGAUCAGUCUUUGGAAUGCUACACCUGUUGUUGCUUUUUCAAAUAAAACAGUUGUGAGCUAGGAAA